This 166-nucleotide unclassified non-coding RNA is filed under the name uncultured fungus. RNAcentral describes it as "sequence contains ITS1". The record is from RNAcentral. Lineage: Eukaryota; Fungi.
UUAAGAAUGUCUCCAAAUCAGACUGCAAUCGCCGUGGAGGUCAAGUAAGCGCGGCGCGCAGGGGCGCCGAAGCACUCAACAUCACCAACAUCCACACGGGUUGAGAAGUUGAAGGCCCAGAGGGGGCCAUUCGUUAAUGAUCCCUCCGCAGGUUCACCUACGGAAA